AUGGGGUUGCCCCUGUGGGGAGUCCUACUGGCCCGGGAUACUGCCAAAGGAGGACCUGAUGGGAACGUCACCCCAUCCUAAAGCCUCGAGAACACAAUGGAGCAGCUGGAUGGCAGAGUCCCUGUAAGCCCUGACACCCUAGGACUGGACAUACCUUCUUAUUAAAACUUGGAGCAGGCAUCAGAAGGAAAAAAAAUUGCACAGCAUCUGCACCGGGCCUCCCAACCCUUCCACCCCAGACCAGCUCAGGACAAAGGAGCAAACAACCACAGGACCACAGGUCAGAGGAAACUAACACAGUGUAUGAUGCCUGGGAGGCCUCAGUACGUGUGUGCUCUACUCAGUGCCUCAGAUGAUCCAGAAGCAACCAAUGCUGCCAAGUAUAUAUAUGUAUAUACAAACCAGGCUGCAGUUUUCCUUGCCUACAUCCAAGGUGACUGCCAUUUCUAGUCGAUUAAGAACCUCAAUAAACCAGAUCUUUGAAGAAUUCAAAGCAGAUUCAAACAACUCCUGAACUUCCUACAGGGGGAAUUGGAGGCUCUGCCCCAGACCUUCCUCUCCUAUGAUGAGCCCUGGGCUGGUCAACAAAGGUGGAGAAUUUCCUCGAUGGAUGAUGAUCCAGUUCUGUGAGGUGAUCCUGCCCAACACAGGAGACAGCAGGGCUUAUCCCAUGUCUUUACAAAUCAAGUCGCUCUCCCCUAUGGGGCAAUUCUGAGCUCAGCAAGUUCCCUGGUCAGGAUCAAUUGGUCAGUUUGCCCCUGUCUGGACUCUACAAUGUAAAAGUUUCUGCCUGGACGCUGGAAGUUGAGGCAGGUCAAUCCAGUUGAAAUUCUUAAGCAGGG
Long non-coding RNA from Talpa occidentalis (Iberian mole), 842 nucleotides. RefSeq lists it as uncharacterized. The transcript has 4 exons. The record is from RefSeq and is a predicted model, not a curated record. Lineage: Eukaryota; Metazoa; Chordata; Mammalia; Eulipotyphla; Talpidae.